UGCCUCGCGACUUAACGAUGCCUCGCCUCGGCUCGCUUCCUUGCCUCGCGCUGGCUGUCAUCGUAGCUUUCCUCGCUGUUCAGGCGGAGGGGCGCGCGUUCUUCGGUCCCGGUUCCUUCUUCCAGGACGCCCAGUUGAACAACGGCACGACGACCGGCCUUGGCCUGUUCGGGUCGUUCCUGGAGGCGCUCGCCUCGCUCCACCAGACACACGACCUCUCCAGCUGUAAGUACC
This is a long non-coding RNA of Cydia amplana, 234 nucleotides long. RefSeq lists it as uncharacterized. The transcript has 3 exons. Lineage: Eukaryota; Metazoa; Arthropoda; Insecta; Lepidoptera; Tortricidae. The record is from RefSeq and is a predicted model, not a curated record.